GAUGAAGAACGUAGCGAAAUGCGAUAAGUAAUGUGAAUUGCAGAAUUCAGUGAAUCAUCGAAUCUUUGAACGCACAUUGCGCCCAUUAGUAUUCUAGUGGGCAUGCCUGUUCGAGCGUCAUUAAUUCCACUUAAGCCCUGCUUAGUGUUGGGAAUCUACUCUAGUGGUGCUACCCUGGAGCUACCCCUGAAAGGGGGCUGGCCCGGUAGCUACCCUGUAGUUCCUCAAAGAUAGUGCGCGGAGUUGCGUGGUCCUCUGAGCUUAGUAACUAUACACCUAGCUUUUUAGUGUCCCGCGGCGCCUGCCGUUUAAACCCCAUCUUUUAAUGGUUGACCUCGGAUCAGGUAGGAAUACCCGCUGAACUUAAGCAUAUCAAUAAGCGGAGGA
Molecule: unclassified non-coding RNA, 387 nt
Filed under: soil metagenome
Description: partial contains 5.8S ribosomal RNA, internal transcribed spacer 2, and large subunit ribosomal RNA
Rfam family: 5.8S ribosomal RNA (bases 1-120)
Source: RNAcentral